Molecule: ribosomal RNA, 460 nt
Filed under: uncultured bacterium
Lineage: Bacteria
Description: partial 16S ribosomal RNA
Rfam family: Bacterial small subunit ribosomal RNA
Source: RNAcentral
CCUACGGGGGGCAGCAGUGAGGAAUAUUGGUCAAUGGACGAGAGUCUGAACCAGCAAAGUAGCGUGAAGGAUGACUGCCCUAUGGGCUGUAAACUUCUUUUAUAUGGGAAUAAAAUGUUCCACGUGUGGGAUUAUGUAUGUACCAUAUGAAUAAGGAUAGGCUAACCCCGUGCCAGCAGCCGCGGUAAUACGGAGGAUCCGAGCGUUAUCCGGAUUUAUUGGGUUUAAAGGGAGCGUAGGUGGAUUGUUAAGUCAGUUGUGAAAGUUUGCGGCUCAACCGUAAAAGUGCAGUUGAAACUGGCAGUCUUGAGUACAGUAGAGGUGGGCGGAAUUCGUGGUGUAGCGGUGAAAUGCUUAGAUAUCACGAAGAACUCCGGUUGCGAAGGCAGUUCACUGGACUGCAACUGACGCUGAGGCUCGAAAGUGUGGGUAUCAAACAGGAUUAGAUACCCUGGUAGUC